This is a long non-coding RNA of Protopterus annectens (West African lungfish), 220 nucleotides long. RefSeq lists it as uncharacterized. NCBI's taxonomy places the organism in Eukaryota, Metazoa, Chordata, Ceratodontiformes, Protopteridae. The transcript is spliced from 3 exons. The record is from RefSeq and is a predicted model, not a curated record.
GCAAAUAUAACAAGACUUUGAAUUUUAGCAGAAUCCAGCCAGCAAGACUGAGUGUCUUAAGAACACCUCACAUCCAUCCCACAGCAAGUAAGCUCCAGCAAGCAAGCAAGUAGUAGACAUUGACUGGGAUAAGCUUCAGACUGCAAGCCUACCUAAAGUAUAUGAGGACCAAGGGGGUGACAUUACCAAUAAGGUGGCCCUUUUAGAAGUUCAAUGGCAG